CGGUGCCAGCCGCUGCGGUAAUACCGAAGCCCCAAGUGGUCGUCGUUCUUAUUGGGCCUAAAACGUCCGUAGCCGGUCUGGUACAUUCGUGGGUAAAUCAGACAGCUUAACUGUCUGAAUUCUGCGAGCACGGCCAAACUUGAGACCGGGAGAGGUGUAGGGUACCUGCGGGGUAGGGGUAAAAUCCUGUCAUCCCGUAGGGACCACCAGUUGCGAAGGCUCUACACUAGAACGGAUCUGACGGUCAGGGACGAAGCCUAGGGGCACGAACCGGAUUAGAUACCCGGGUAGUCCUAGGUGUAAACGCUGUGGACUUUGUGUCGGGAAUUCUUCGAGGAUUCUCGGUGCCGGAGUGAAGAUGUUAAGUCCACUGCCUGGGGAGUACGGUCGCAAGGCUGAAACUCAAAGGAAUUGGCGGGGGAGCACUGCAACGAGAGGAGCGUGCGGUUU
RNAcentral lists this ribosomal RNA (450 nucleotides) under uncultured euryarchaeote. RNAcentral's name for it is "bacterial SSU rRNA". It matches the Rfam family "Archaeal small subunit ribosomal RNA", at positions 453 to 903 of the family's 1478-position model. Lineage: Archaea; Methanobacteriati; Methanobacteriota. The record is from RNAcentral.